ACAAGGUGUUGACCGCCUAUGGCACCUUGCCACAGGCAGGGCGAGUGGCACGGGGCUGGAGGACCCGCGGCUGCCCCGUCCCCGCAGCGCACAAGGCACUGCCCGGCGGGGUGAUGGCAGGGAGUGCGCGGCACCUCCGCGGGUACUCAAAAAAGACCGAGGACGGGAUGAGGACGGAUGAGUUUGCGUCUUCGCAAAGUAUUUGGACCCUUGGCUUCAGCAAGGAGCAACCAAAAAUCCAGACUCUUCCAGGUUCUUGGAGAGCUCAUUCCAAGGUUCAGCCUACUCCUUGAUAAACUUUCAUCCCUGAGGGGACACGGAGGCUUUCCAUGCUCAGGAGGGAUUCUGACACUGAGGAAAGCAUUUUCAAGGAUAACCAGCUGAUUGUCACCUUCCUAAGUCCCAAGGAGCAGAACAUGAAGAAGAUGCACUUUCCUGGCUCAAUUGGUGAAUCCAUUUGGUGGGCCAGAAAGAACACCUCCCUUAGCUCAGGUUCUUCAGCUGUUGGCCUCCCCUGGAAUUAGGUCAUGAAGAUGAUGUACGCUUAGUGAUCUGGUUUAAAGGAAACCACAUCUUCCACAACAGAAACUCUUUGAUAAUUGUUCAAGCGUGGAAAUGAGGUCAGGAAGAAAAAUAAGGAACUCAGAACACAAGUAACCUGACUACUGUCUCACCUUUUAAGACAUAUUUAACCACUGACCUGGCAUGGAGGGCAUGUUUUAAACAGACGGUUGCAGUAACGAAAGAAAAAUACAGGCUGUCCAGCAGUGAGAGUACUUACUGAGCCACAUGACUUACCAGGGAUGAACAUCCUCCUUUGGUGUGAGCAAGCUGACAGGUUCACCUCUUGUCUUCCAGGAAAAUGUCUUUGCCUACAAGUUAAGUGCAUGGAGGUACUUUCCAUCCUUCCUCUUUAAGUUACCUAAGGACAGAAGCUGUGCAGACCCUCCUGAACCAUAUAUUUAUUAUAGUGACCGUGGGCAGUGCAUUCUCCAAAGGUACUCCUUUCUUCGUGUCACGGCUGGAAGUACUAACAAGAGUGCCACAUGCGGGUGUAUUUUCUAUAAAGUAGACCAUUACCAGCUAAAAAGUAAAGGCAAACUAUCAAUUCACUUAAUGUGGAGUUCUCAAUGAGCAUUUAGAUGCUGCCACUUCUGGGCACUGAUGGCUAUAUCAGAAUAUCUGUAGACGCUUGUGACCUGCAUUCCAGGCCUGGACUACCUGAUGAGCUGGCCACAAGGGAACUGGCUGAGCAAUUCCAUGAGGGCUGUGCUUUUGGAGAGAGCCUGCAAGAUCUACAGCUCUUAUUGCCUGAAGGUGACUUGCGUAGGAGUUUGGGGGCGUUUAAAGUGAUUGCAACUAUAGCUUUCAUGGUCAUUUUACAGCCCUGCUGUACUACAAGAGCAGAACAUCUUUGUCCAUGGAGAAAUUACGUUCCUUUAUCUAUACUUGUCCUUAUUUCUUCUAAUGUAUAAAAUGAACUGUCUUAAUGUCCUUCUGCAAUAACAAAAUUCCAAAACGACUACUCAUUAAAGUGGGUCUUCCUUGCAUAUGGACUACUUUAUAUCUGGGCUGCCGUGCAGGGGGAGAUAUCCAAACUGGCCUUAAAUGACUUAGAUGCAGUCUAGCCAUUCCAGCACAGCUGUCAGCUUGGAUCAAUUUUCCCUUCAGAAAAAAAAAAAAUAAAAAAUGCUGCCAUCAGUAGGAAUGUUUUGUGGCUGAGCUAUCUUGAUCCCCCACUACAGUUGCAGCAGGGAUCUAGCCUAUUUAUAUCCUUCAGCAAGGAGCAAGGAAAGAGUGCUCCUGAAGUGGGAAUUGGUGUGCACCCCAUUCCCAUUGUACCUCUAAUGUUAGAAGGAGUUCAGCUGUUCUCUGGAAAAGCUCCUCAUUUGGAUGACUGGAGUGCAAGGGUGCACUGUGGCAAACAACUACAGUCUGGGGAUCAAUACAGUACCAACAAAAGCCAGGUCUUUUAUUAGAUAUUGUGGGGUUUAUUUCAAUUUUACCUAGCAUGAUUUUCUGCCACUUUAUGUAUUUAAACACUUCUUCAACCCAGAAUGGAGUUCUCCCCAGCGAAGGUAAUUAGUAGCUAUCAGUGUGCAGUAUGGAACUGUUUUUCUCAUUUUGCUCCUGUGUAUCACACUAACACUGCCUGAUAGCAACAGAGGGCAGCUAUAAAAAAAUCUAACAAGAAAAUUAACAAUAAUGCUUCAAAAAUCAUCACUGAGGACCUGAUCAUGCUAAUUGAUGUUUAGGAUGACUCAUCCAAUUAGUUCUUUGAAAUAGGACUGGUUGCUGUUCUUACAUUAUUGAGAUUGCUAUGUUGUAGACCUUUGACGGUAUGAAGCAGUCAAUGAAUGCAAAUUAAUGAACAUUGACCCAUAGCCGCAGAAACAAUUACAUCUAUGUUAUCUUGCAUCAGCAUCUACACUGACCAUCCACUAACCAUCCUUCAGGGUGCACUCUGAGCUCUUCAACUGAUAGCAAAUAGGGAACCUUAGAGCACCAUACCUGCAGGCUACUAUGGAUAUCCGGAUGAUCUACAGAAGCCCAAGUUCUUUCUGUCCUACAAAACCACAAGCUUGUCCCAAACUGCUUUUCACACUCUACCUCAGAUGUCCUGUGCCACCAUACAGAGAAACACCACAAAUAUUUAACCUUGACGGUGUCAAAUGGCUGAGAUAAGGACAACACAACUUCUCCUCCAACUUGGAGCCUCAUAUUCUUCUUUCUAAAUGGAAAUCGGAUGGAAGAGACUCCACAUUUGAAAACAACAGCUAAAUCUAUGCGGAGAUGAUUGCCUGUUCGGUCAAGCUAGUGUGCUGGUGAGCUAGGGAAAAUGUUGAGAGAUGCUUCAAGCAAGGGUAAAGAUGGAUAAUUUGCAGUUGUGUACAAGAAGAAGGUACAGAGUCACCCACUGAAGAAAGAGGAAAACACCAAAGAGUCUGAACGCAGACAUACUCUCAGAAGGACUACAAAUGAAAUAUUCAACAUAACCAUCCAGCGCUGGCCUCAUUACAAACAGACCCACGGAAACCUCCAUUGUCACCACGCAGCUACGUGAGACAUAUCCCUGGGGCAGAGUGCAAGACCACUGCCAGCAAGGGGUAACUACCCAGUACUGCACUUCUGCGCACUCUGCUACAAGUCAGGAGCCUCUCCCUGCCUGAAAGAGGGUGGAAGAAGAAUGCGGAGUAGGGCUAUGAGACCAGGAUCAGGCGAGCAAGAUGGGAGUACACAAGAAACUAAGUAGAAAAUGUCUUCUAGAGAGAUGCUGGAAGCUGGCAGGUGGGAGGCAGGCUGUUGGAUGUCUCCUUGUACAUUUUCUUUGUGCUCAUGUGAACAUGAAUGACUGUUGCUUUAAAUCUUAUUUGCUGUCUGUUUUCAAAAAAAGAAUUGAGAAGAACUGUGUAUAAUUAUAUACAGAAUAUUAAUCUUCUUCCUGGUGAUCUACAACUCUAGCAUAUUCAUCACACUGGAACUGUACUCAAAAGUAUUUUCAUCUGAUUAAAACCGCUGAUUCAUCGAUGCAUAUAAUCCUUUGCUAAUAUGUAUAUAAAUGGCUCUUAAGAAUUUGCACAUCAGUUAUUCCUCAUUUUCAUUGUUAUUUGGUUUUUCUCAAACACAGAGUGCAACGCUGAAAUUUUAUGUUUAAAUCUAGGUUUUUUGAGAGGUAAGGUGCCGUGAUCUGGGUUGUGGUGGAGGAAGUGAUGGAGGAAGCUAGAAAUACUAACAUCUGAUUUUAGCUCUGGCCCUGACUUCCCUUUGUAGAUUUGGAUAAGUCACUGCUGUCAUGCCUACACUGGGGUCAAUAUUGCAGUCACCUUCAAUCCUGGACCCACAUAUUUUUAGGAAUUGUGAAUACUUAAACAUGAUCACGAGCCAUCUACCUCAAUACUGGAAAAUGCCACGCUUCAGACUGUGAAGCUCACUCUGACAUUACUCACUAUACUACGUCUUUCUGCACUUUCUCGGAAAUUCACAUGGGAAGAUACUUGUAUACUUUCACCAGGACUGUGCCAACUUGCUGUUCUUUACUUCUGACUCUUUCUGUACCUCCUUCCUUAUUUUACUGUUUAUAAAAAGAAGCUUGCUUAGAAGAAGAGACAAGGCUGCCAAAUGUUUCACAGCAGUGUCCCACAGGGAAACUUGGGAUAAAUCAUGGAAACAUAGAAUCAUAGAAUACUUUGGGUUGGAAGGGACCUUAAAGAUCAUCUAGUCCCAACUCUGCCUUCUAUGGGCAGGAACAUCUUCCACUAGGUUGGGUUGCUCAAAGCCUCGUCCUAACUGGUCUCGAACACCUCCAGGGAUGGGGCAUCCACUAAUUCUCUGGGCAACCUGUACCAAUGCCUCACCACCCUCAAAGUAAAAAAUUUCUUCCUAAUAUCUAAUACCUAUCCUCUUUCAGCUCAAAACCAUUGCCCCUUGUCCUAUCACUGCACUCCACGAUAAAGAGCCUCCCCCAGCUUUCUUGUAGCCCCUUCAGUUUCUGCAAAGCUGCUCUAAGGUCUCCCCAAAGCCUUCUCUUCUCCAGGCUGAACAAUCACAUGUCUCUCAGCCUGUCCUCAUACAGGAGGUGUUUCAGCCCUUUGAUCAUCUUUGUGGUCCUCCUCUGGACUUGCUCCAACAGAUCUAUGUCUUUCCUGUGAUGAAGAUUCCAGAACUGAACGCAGUACUCCAGGUGAGGUCUCAUGAGAGAAAAGCAGAGGGGCAGAAUCCCCUCCCUCAACCUGCUGGUUAAGCUCUGACGUAGCCCAGGACACGGUUGGCUUUCUGGGCUGUGAGCGCACAUUGCUGGCUUCUGUUGAGCUUCUCACCCACCAGCACCCCCAAGUCCUUCUUCUUCAAGGCUGCUCUCAACCCCUUCUCUGUCCAGACUGUAAUUGUGCUUGGGUUUGUAGAAUCUUACCUAUAUGAUCAUGAACUAGAAACGCAAUGCAAACAGUUUUGGUUUACACCAAACAGCCCAUAUACAUAUAUGAUAAAAAAAGGAAAUAUCGGCUUAUGGGGCUCAAAUUUUUUGUUUGAGAAUAACUUCAAGGUGAACACUAUAUAUCAUUACAGACAUAGCCUUAGGGAAUAUACAUAUAACAAUCUCAAUACCACUCUUGUCAAAAUCUUCAAAGCUGCAACUUAUCCCAUAGGAUAAGAAAUACUAUCAGUUAAAAUUCCCGCUACUUAACUAUCUCUUUCCACACAUGUUCACAAAUGCUCAGCAGCAGAACAUCCAUCUCAUACCUCCAUUCCCUCGUCCAUAUCAAGAAACUGGGUACAUCUCACCUGUGUCUCUUGAGAAGCCUGAAAUAGUAGCAGUGCUCAGAGCAUGUGAAGGGUGUGUCAAGGAGAUUGAUUUUGUGUGAAACUGAGUGUUAUUUUAUUAGAAAUAAAGGCAUGUAUUGACCUGCUCUUUGUACCUCACUCUGAUAAUCUGAGCACUUCCCCUAGGUUCAGUUCUCUCCUUGGGCUAAGAGAAAAAGCAAGGUCGAAUCCACAGCUCUCAGAAGCAAAGCUUCACUGUUCGGCUGAAAUCUCUUCUUGGUACACAUAUUCUUCAUUGGUUGUUGAAGCUGUUACACAGCAGUCCUAAAAUCUCCCCAGUCUUGUGAGUGUUUGAGAUUUUAUGAUCAUAUCCCAAGUCCCCAGUUCUCUCAAUCUCUUUUUUUCCUCUGCAAAUUACUUAAGCAGUUUAUGCCAGGAAAAAGAUGCAGACUUCUUCAUCCCACGUGGAGGGAAGUUUAUAAAGGGUUAUUUAUACAGCUGGAAUUGUGAGAGCCUGGAAAUCAGUCUUCCUUUUGUGUUAGCUUAGGCAGCUUCACACUCACCUGCUAUAAACACUAUUCUGAGUUAAUGAACUCCUCCCAUGUCUUGAUCCUGGGUAGUUAUUAUAAAAACUUGUAAGGCUCAGUAUUAUGGUAUCCAAGAUUCUUUAUGAAUUUAACUACUAGGACAAAAGUUUCCAUUCUGAGUAUGCAAAUGUCUUCAGUGCCUCUGAAAAUUAGAUCAUGCCUCCAUCUAGUCAGUGCCUAAUUUUACAGUUGAUAUUCAGAAAUGUUUGCCCAACCUCUGUAUUUUCUGGUUUUUGUUUGUAAAAAUGGAACAUUAAUACUUAAUUGCUUCUCAAAACUUUGUGGGAAUUAAUGCUUCUAAAGCAUUUCAAGAAUGAAAAGGACCACAUAAACUGACAACUACUGUAAUUAAGUAUGAAUUAUUUAAAAUGAAAAAUUUGUAUUGCAAAUGAAGUGUUGGAGCAAUAUAUUGAACAAACCACCAAAAAACCUCACAAAAAUUACUAACCAAAACACAAGGCUUAGGCAUAUCACAGUACGACAUCUUAGCAAAGUAUUGAACGUCAACUGAGCUGUAGAAAUUUACCAUAUUGUUUCCAUGGAAAGUAGUUUCAUGUGAGAUAUUUUACGUUGCGUUUGGUGCAGACAGGAAGAUGGUCAGUCAGGUAACUUCGGCUUAAUGAGGAGCCUUCAACAGUAGUUUCAUAGUGACUGCUACUCACUGCCGUCUAACUGUUAUCCUGUGCCUUCUUUUUGUGGUAUGGAGAUUUUUUUUCCCUUCUAGUAUUUCAAAUGUAAGUUCUGUAGGGGAAGUAACCACUGUUUUAUUACCUGGACCUAGAACAGUUAGGCUUAAGCUCCUGUGCUGGCAGAUGAUCCAGUAUAGAUAAAUAUCAAGGAUAAUUUUAAGGACAUUUAUUAUCAAUAACUACAUGCAGCCAGGUACAGAAUUCAAAUAUGCAUUUAGAGCAAAUGCCUCAAGUGGAAAUUUUCUAGAUGAAACAUAGGCAGUGGACUCGGUUUAGGGAAAGGGAAACCGAUAAUUAAUGUCUAACACGGUAUAAUAAUAUAUGAUAUUUAAUAAAAGCAUUCC
Molecule: long non-coding RNA, 6879 nt
Organism: Cuculus canorus (common cuckoo)
Lineage: Eukaryota; Metazoa; Chordata; Aves; Cuculiformes; Cuculidae
Exons: 4
Source: RefSeq, a predicted model, not a curated record